CAAAGUGCUCAUAGUGCAGGUAGUUAAUGCACCCAAAUCUACUGUAAUGUGGGCACUUACAGU
Molecule: microRNA precursor, 63 nt
Filed under: Anolis carolinensis (green anole)
Lineage: Eukaryota; Metazoa; Chordata; Lepidosauria; Squamata; Anolidae
Description: Aca-Mir-17-P4c_pre stem-loop
Rfam family: mir-17 microRNA precursor family
About the family: This family represents the microRNA (miRNA) precursor mir-17, family, which includes mir-20, mir-91, and mir-103. miRNAs are transcribed as ~70nt precursors (modelled here) and subsequently processed by the Dicer enzyme to give a ~22nt product.
Source: RNAcentral